Long non-coding RNA from Miniopterus natalensis, 1281 nucleotides. RefSeq lists it as uncharacterized. The record is from RefSeq and is a predicted model, not a curated record. Lineage: Eukaryota; Metazoa; Chordata; Mammalia; Chiroptera; Miniopteridae.
AAGAUUGCAGGAGCUGACAAGACUCCCUUUAAUCCAGGGCCCUCAUUUUGCAGGUGGAGAAACUGAGGCCCAGAGAAGGUCACCCAGGUACACCAGGGCUCCAGUUCUCCCGUCUGAUGGCUCCAAAAUGAUGUCAUGUACACUGGUCUCUACUUUGCAACUUAAGAUCCUUUGAUCUUUAAGCAAAAAUGAGGAAACUGAGGCGACGGAAGGGCCCAUCUUGCUAUCCAGGGCAGCGACAUGCUCCAAGAGACAAGAACUGCCUGGAAAUGAGUCCAUCAAAUGUAAUGUUAAGUCCCCCUGCUGUGUGCCAGGCCCCAGGGCAGGAGUCUGGGCCAGGAGCACAGAUUUGGAAGUCAUCAGUGCUCGGUGAAGAUCUGAAGCAAAGCCAUCACUCAUCAUUGACACCUUCGUUCAUGACUGCUCCAUCCUAUCCAUCAGCGAGGAGUAUGCAGAACCCUACCACGCCUCACACCUCAGCUGCUUCCACCUGUCCGUAACUUUUGCCUGCAUCAUUGAAGGAGUCUCUUACCCAUUUUUCUGCUUCUGUCUCAGCAGCCAGUGAUCCUAUUAAAAAGAAUCUGUUUAUGGCACGCUGCACAAAUUCCCCAUUCAAUCCCCAUUUCUCUAAUCAUACAUGCCCAAAUCCUCUCAGUGGCUCUUGAGUUCUUACAUGAUCUAGUCCCCUUAAACUCCUGAGCUCAUCUUGUCCUGUCUUUUCUCCUGCUCCAACCAGGCUUCCUCUUCCUGUUCCCUGAACACUCUCUCACCUUGGGGGUUUGGCCUUUGCACUAGAUCUCCUAGCCCGAAAUGCUUUCCCCCAGCUGUCUCCAUGACUCACCCUUCACAACUCAGUGAGGCCUCCCCUGGACGACUAUCUAGAGUUGUCCUCACUCAACAAUCAGUAUCCACUCAUUCCCAUUUCACACACAGCAUGUUUUACUGACUUUUCUUGUUCAUUCUUUGUCUUGCCCCAUGAUGGGAAAGAGAUCUUUCCUAUUUGUUGACUGCAUAUCUCCAGCAUCAGGACCAGUGGCUGACACCUACAUCCAGAGGGGGCUCCAGGAAGGUUGUGGCAUCCAGGCAGCCCCUUCCACACAAGUCCCAGUCAUGCUGACGUGCAGGCCUGUCUGUGGUGUCGCUGAGCCAGCUGCUGUUCUCUCCAGCUCCAGCUCAGGCAGUUGGUGGGCUGGAGAUGGAACUUCUUGCCGGCCUGGUGUGGAUUGUCUUUGCGCUCUACAGACAGGCCUUGUGCCCAAGGUCACCGUCCACACCUUGCUC